Molecule: transfer RNA, 64 nt
Filed under: Rattus norvegicus (Norway rat)
Lineage: Eukaryota; Metazoa; Chordata; Mammalia; Rodentia; Muridae
Rfam family: tRNA
About the family: Transfer RNA (tRNA) molecules are approximately 80 nucleotides in length. Their secondary structure includes four short double-helical elements and three loops (D, anti-codon, and T loops). Further hydrogen bonds mediate the characteristic L-shaped molecular structure. tRNAs have two regions of fundamental functional importance: the anti-codon, which is responsible for specific mRNA codon recognition, and the 3' end, to which the tRNAs corresponding amino acid is attached (by aminoacyl-tRNA synthetases). tRNAs cope with the degeneracy of the genetic code in two manners: having more than one tRNA (with a specific anti-codon) for a particular amino acid; and 'wobble' base-pairing, i.e. permitting non-standard base-pairing at the 3rd anti-codon position.
Source: Rfam by way of RNAcentral
AUGUAGCUCAGCUGGUAGAGUGCUUGUCUAGCAUACAGGAUGCCCUGGGUUCUAUUCCCAGCAU